Molecule: ribosomal RNA, 632 nt
Filed under: Microbacterium sp. Se1Ps_2136
Lineage: Bacteria; Bacillati; Actinomycetota; Actinomycetes; Micrococcales; Microbacteriaceae
Description: bacterial SSU rRNA
Rfam family: Bacterial small subunit ribosomal RNA
Source: RNAcentral
CUGAUGCAGCAACGCCGCGUGAGGGACGACGGCCUUCGGGUUGUAAACCUCUUUUAGCAAGGAAGAAGCGAAAGUGACGGUACUUGCAGAAAAAGCACCGGCUAACUACGUGCCAGCAGCCGCGGUAAUACGUAGGGUGCAAGCGUUAUCCGGAAUUAUUGGGCGUAAAGAGCUCGUAGGCGGUUUGUCGCGUCUGCUGUGAAAUCUGGGGGCUCAACCCCCAGCCUGCAGUGGGUACGGGCAGACUAGAGUGCGGUAGGGGAGAUUGGAAUUCCUGGUGUAGCGGUGGAAUGCGCAGAUAUCAAGAGGAACACCGAUGGCGAAGGCAGAUCUCUGGGCCGUAACUGACGCUGAGGAGCGAAAGGGUGGGGAGCAAACAGGCUUAGAUACCCUGGUAGUCCACCCCGUAAACGUUGGGAACUAGUUGUGGGGUCCAUUCCACGGAUUCCGUGACGCAUCUAACGCAUUAAGUUCCCCGCCUGGGGAGUACGGCCGCAAGGCUAAAACUCAGAGGAAUUGACGGGGACCCGCACAAGCGGCGGAGCAUGCGGAUUAAUUCGAUGCAACGCGAAGAACCUUACCAAGGCUUGACAUAUACCAGAACGGGCUAGAAAUAGUCAACUCUUUGGACA